Molecule: long non-coding RNA, 2380 nt
Filed under: Rattus norvegicus (Norway rat)
Lineage: Eukaryota; Metazoa; Chordata; Mammalia; Rodentia; Muridae
Description: long non-coding RNA NONRATT018316
Source: RNAcentral
UUAGGUUAAACAAGGCAAUGUAUAAAACCUUCCCCCGCAGUCAGAAUAAAAACUAAAAAGGUGUAAGCAGUUCUUGUUACUGAGACCUCCUAAAGCUGUCUUACAGUUUUAAAUUCAAAUUACUUUUCUGGGGCUUUAAUAGAGGCAGCAGAGGAAGGACGGUAUGGUCUUAAGUGUUGGUGAUUUAUUCACAGUUCCUCAAGGCCCCCGGGAUAACUAUUAAUUAUAGCUAUUUUUGUGCAAUUACAUCAUGUUAUGCAUUGGAAGCUGAGAAUUUUAAUAGCUUUUAAAACUGCUGUCCUCAUUAAGCGGUGAAAAAUAUUUCUCUUAAAUAUUGAAUAUUUUUCCUACAUUUUAACAAUAAUUAAAGUUUGUCCCACCAUAUCUUACAUUAAUUCCAUGUGCGUGGAUGAGCUAAUCUGGAGGAUAAUAUAUUUUCAUACCUUGAAGCGCAUUUAUGUGAGUACAAAUUAGACUAUAGACAGAACCCUAUAUCUAGCUUUAAUGAAAUUUUAAAUGAAUGAGUUUUGGCCUGAAAGAUCAUAAUCAUAUAUACAAUAAUAAUUAUUUUUUAAACCAAUAGAUUUAAAUUCUUUGAAGGAACAUUUUUUUUUUGUCUUACGGCCAAAUGCCACUUGGCCAGCUAGGACCACUGCACAGUCACUAAGUUGGCCGUACAAACUCUUGCCUUCCUUGUCUUUCAGCAUAAUAACUGCCUGAAAACCAACGAAACUCAUUCCUGAAAACCAAUGAAACUCAUUCUCUGGCAGUCGAAUCAAUAUUGGUUUUUACAGCUCUAUGCCAAGGAGUAGCUUUCUGUUAGAGAUAGAAAGAUGUUGUAACUGGGAAAACUGACAUGAUGUGUAGGUUUCACAUACAACAGUAUGGAUUUUCUUUUUUAAAAAAAAUAUAAAUCUGUACCUCUGUAAAAUUAGGAAUUGUAAUUUGAAUGUUAACUCUGAAAAGAUGUUGAGAUUCUCUUUAUGCUAUAACAGCGUAGGCAUAUAGCUAAUGAAACAACAGGAGAUUAUUUUAGAUUGAUAUUUUUUAUUUACUGAAAAUUGAAAUUUAUUUCCAAGUAUGAAAUUUUCAUAAUCUAGUUUGAUUAAAGAAAUGGAUUGGUCCGGAGGACAUUUGACACACAUGAGGGAUAUUAACACUGAUACUGAUUUCUUACAGAGAUAUUUAUUUUAGAGUCGAUACUUUAAAACAUCUGUGUGAGGGUUACUUUGCCCCCUUAUGUUUAAUUAUCAUCAUAAUUCUGAUUAUGUUCUCAAUGACUAUGAAAGGUGACACAGUCAAGAUAUUAUUGUCUUAAAUCUACCUGUAUCGCAAAAUUACUUGCUAAUAAUUAAUCCUCGUGAAUACAUUACUUCUAUAAUGAGGAAAAUCACUAAGAGCAGACAGAGAGUUUUGUUGCUACCUUACGAGAACAGUGAGUGUCUGUAGUGAGUCUAACCCUAAGGAGGGAAUUUGGUGGCAGCAUUUAUGUAAGCAGCUGGUUCUAUCCCCAUGUGGGGGAGCCUCAUGGAGAAGAAAAGCAAGUGGUUCUAGAGUAUCUGUGUGUGGCCACUGACUAUCCUAAUGUCACUUGUGGGUGGCUUGUAUAUUUAAUUUGAUGAGUAAGGGAACCCGGCAAAAAUGUAUUAUGGGAUCUAAAAAGGCAAAAAAAAAUUAACUCAAUGCCUAGUGAUUUGUAAAAGGUUUCUUUGAACUUACUCCUUUUAUUUGAACCAUGAACCUGUGGGUAUGCCAUCUACAGUAUACACUGGCAUUCACUGUGAUUUCUGACAUGUCAUGGACUUCCUGUGCGGUACUGAAUCCUUGCAUUCUGUUGUCAUUGUUCUCAAGUGCAAUAUAACAAUGUAACGAAACUUAAAUAUGAGUCACUAUUAAUUUAGUAAGAAAUUAUUAAUUUGUCACUAUUAAUCUGAGUAGAAAUUUAUUAGUAUUUUUUAUUAGCAGAAAAGAACAAUUCUGCUGUAGUUGUAGAUAUACAGGUGAAGUUUUUUUGUUUUUUGCUUUUUUUGUUUCGUUUUGGUCUUUUUUUUUUUUUUUUUUUUUUUACCUCUAAACCAUCCAAUCUGCAUUUUAUUUUAGGUGGAAGACAAACUAUUCCCUACCAGUUUUAAGACAUCUUCAGUAUAUUAAGAUAACUUGGAAGCUGUGUGUAUCAAAUUACUUUGCUCUCUAAGUAACAUGGAAGAUAUUUUUUUUUUUUGGCUUCUCUUGUGAUCGCCCACAUUGGGUGAGACAUAAAACGAGUCUCUUCUGAAACCUGUCAUUGGCUAGCUUGUUUUGAGUUAGUAAAAGCAGGUUCCAUGCUCUGCUUGGUUUCCAAUGUGUAACUUGUGACUGUAUAAUAAACUUGAACAUCUGG